UAAUACGAAGGGGGCGAGCGUUAUUCGGAAUGACUGGGCGUAAAGGGCGUGUAGGUGGCUUUGUAAGUCAGUUGUUAAAUGCUAUGGCUUAACCAUAGAAAUGCGAUUGAUACUGCAAAGCUAGAGUGUGAGAGAGAGAAGUGGAAUUCUCGGAGUAGCGGUAAAAUGCGUAGAUCUCGAGAGGAACACCGGUGGCGAAGGCGGCUUCUUGGCUCACUACUGACACUAAAACGCGAAGGCGUGGGGAGCAAACAGG
RNAcentral lists this ribosomal RNA (256 nucleotides) under uncultured bacterium. RNAcentral describes it as "partial 16S ribosomal RNA". It matches the Rfam family "Bacterial small subunit ribosomal RNA", at positions 521 to 776 of the family's 1533-position model. The record is from RNAcentral.